CCUACGGGUGGCAGCAGUGGGGAAUAUUGCACAAUGGAGGAAACUCUGACGCAGCGACGCCGCGUGAGUGAUGAAGUUCUUCGGUUUGUAAAGUUCUUUCCUCAGGGAAGAAGAUGGUGGUAGUUGCUUAAGAAUCCGCCUCUGCGAACGACGUGCCAGCAGCCGCCGUACUACGUAGGAGGCGGUCGUUAUACGGAAUUACGGGGCGUAAGGGGGGAGUAGGUGGUUUGGCAAGUCAGUAGCGUAACGCCAAGGCUCAACCUUGGAACUACUACGAAAACUGUUGUACUGGAGUGCAGGAGGGGUAAGCGGAAUUCCUAGUGUAGCGGUGGAAUGCGUAGAUAUUAGGAGGAACACCAGUGGCGAAGGCGGGUUGCUAGACUGUAACUGACACUGAGGCACGAAAGCGUGGGGAGCAAACAGGAUUAGAUACCCGAGUAGUC
RNAcentral lists this ribosomal RNA (443 nucleotides) under uncultured bacterium. RNAcentral describes it as "partial 16S ribosomal RNA". It matches the Rfam family "Bacterial small subunit ribosomal RNA", at positions 338 to 795 of the family's 1533-position model. The record is from RNAcentral.